UACAGAGGGGGCAAGCGUUAUUCGGAAUGAUUGGGCGUAAAGCGUCCGCAGGUGGCUGUGUAAGUCUGCUGUCAAAGAGCAAAGCUCAACUUUGUAAAGGCAGUGGAAACUACACGGCUAGAGUGCGUUCGGGGCAGAGGGAAUUCCUGGUGUAGCGGUGAAAUGCGCAGAUAUCAGGAGGAACACCGAUGGCGAAGGCAGUGUUCUGGGCCAGUACUGACGCUGAGGAGCGAAAGCGUGGGGAGCAAACAGG
This 253-nucleotide ribosomal RNA is filed under the name uncultured bacterium. RNAcentral's name for it is "partial 16S ribosomal RNA". It matches the Rfam family "Bacterial small subunit ribosomal RNA", at positions 524 to 776 of the family's 1533-position model. The record is from RNAcentral.